Molecule: transfer RNA, 71 nt
Filed under: Mycobacterium alsense
Lineage: Bacteria; Bacillati; Actinomycetota; Actinomycetes; Mycobacteriales; Mycobacteriaceae
Description: tRNA-Gln
Rfam family: tRNA
About the family: Transfer RNA (tRNA) molecules are approximately 80 nucleotides in length.
Source: RNAcentral
UGGAGAGUGGUGUAAGGGCAGCAUUCCGGGCUUUGACCCCGGCGACAUAGGUUCGACCCCUGUCUCUCCAA